UGCUGUUGCAAUUAAUGACGGUCUUAUAACGCCGGUUCUUCAGGAUGCUGAUAAGAUGGAUUUGUAUCUUUUAUCUCAAAAGUGUAUCUCAAAAGUGGAAGGAGCUGGUGGAGAAAGCCCGUUCAAAGCAACUUCAACCUCACGAGUAUAAUUCAGAAACAUUUACUCUGUCCAAUUUGGGCAUGUUUAGAGUGGAUAGAUUCAACACUAUACUUUCGCCAGGC
Morus notabilis is the source of this 224-nucleotide long non-coding RNA. RefSeq lists it as uncharacterized. The record is from RefSeq and is a predicted model, not a curated record. Lineage: Eukaryota; Viridiplantae; Streptophyta; Magnoliopsida; Rosales; Moraceae. The transcript has 3 exons.